GGGGAAUUAGCUCAGUUGGUUAGAGCAGAAAACUGUUAAUUUUAAGGUCAUAGGUUCAAGUCCUAUAUUCCCCG
RNAcentral lists this transfer RNA (74 nucleotides) under Crassvirales sp. RNAcentral's name for it is "tRNA-Asn". It matches the Rfam family "tRNA". From Rfam's summary of the family: Transfer RNA (tRNA) molecules are approximately 80 nucleotides in length. Their secondary structure includes four short double-helical elements and three loops (D, anti-codon, and T loops). Lineage: Duplodnaviria; Heunggongvirae; Uroviricota; Caudoviricetes; Crassvirales. The record is from RNAcentral.